Long non-coding RNA from Hypomesus transpacificus, 429 nucleotides. RefSeq lists it as uncharacterized. NCBI's taxonomy places the organism in Eukaryota, Metazoa, Chordata, Actinopteri, Osmeriformes, Osmeridae. The transcript has 3 exons. The record is from RefSeq and is a predicted model, not a curated record.
CAGCCAGCAGUCAGCAGCUAGCAGCCAGCAGUCAGACAGCCAGACAGCCAGCAGCCAGCAGCCAGUCAGCCAGCAGCCAGCAGCAUGCCAGACUCAGAGCUUGUCGUUCCUGCUCCAUGCCAGGUCAUCCUGGACGACGCCAACAAGUGUGUGAAGCAGAAGGGUGAGGAGAGCUGCAGGGAUCUGAUGGAGGCCUUCCAGACGUGCGUGAAGACCCUGUCAGAGAGCUCCUGACCUGGGCCGGCCCCUUGCAUUCCCCUCCUCGCCUGUGGUUGUGGACUGAACCAUCUGGUCCUUGCGGGCGGGAGUUAGCAGCAACGCCAGAAUACCUGAGACAAACUCAUCCACUCAUUGUGAUGAGCCUGGCUUUCAUACUGUGACUUGUCAAUGCUAAGAGAAGCAUAUAUAUUUUACAAUAAAGACAGUUUU